AACGAACGCUGGCGGCAUGCCUAACACAUGCAAGUCGAACGAGACCUUCGGGUCUAGUGGCGCACGGGUGCGUAACGCGUGGGAACCUGCCCUUAGGUUCGGAAUAACUCCCCGAAAGGGGUGCUAAUACCGGAUAAUGUCUUCGGACCAAAGAUUUAUCGCCUUUGGAUGGGCCCGCGUUGGAUUAGCUAGUUGGUAGGGUAAAAGCCUACCAAGGCGACGGUCCAUAGCUGGUCUGAGAGGAUGAUCAGCCACACUGGGACUGAGACACGGCCCAGACUCCUACGGGAGGCAGCAGUGGGGAAUAUUGGACAAUGGGCGAAAGCCUGAUCCAGCAAUGCCGCGUGAGUGACGAAGGCCUUAGGGUUGUAAAGCUCUUUUACCCGGGAUGAUAAUGACAGUACCGGGAGAAUAAGCUCCGGCUAACUCCGUG
Molecule: ribosomal RNA, 433 nt
Filed under: uncultured bacterium
Lineage: Bacteria
Description: partial 16S ribosomal RNA
Rfam family: Bacterial small subunit ribosomal RNA
Source: RNAcentral